Molecule: ribosomal RNA, 548 nt
Filed under: uncultured Glomeromycotina
Lineage: Eukaryota; Fungi; Glomeromycota
Description: SSU rRNA
Rfam family: Eukaryotic small subunit ribosomal RNA
Source: RNAcentral
UUGGAGGGCAAGUCUGGUGCCAGCAGCCGCAGUAAUUCCAGCUCCAAUAGCGUAUAUUAAAGUUGUUGCAGUUAAAAAGCUCGUAGUUGAAUUUCGAGACCGGCUUACUGGUCGUGCUUUUGUACGUACUGGUAUAAUCGGUUUCUCCUCUCUGACGAACUAUAAUGCCAUUAAUUUGGUGUUAUAGGGAAUCAGGACUGUUACUUUGAAAAAAUUAAAGUGUUUAAAGCAGGCUCACGCUUGAAUACAUUAGCAUGGAAUAACGGAAUAGGACGUUUGAUUCUAUUUUGUUGGUUUCUAGGAUCGACGUAAUGAUUAAUAGGGAUAGUUGGGGGCAUUAGUAUUCAAUUGUCAGAGGUGAAAUUCUUGGAUUUAUUGAAGACUAACUACCGCGAAAGCACUUGCCAAGGAUGUUUUCAUUAAUCAAGAACGAAAGUUAGGGGAUCGAAGACGAUCAGAUACCGUCGUAGUCUUAACCAUAAACUAUGCCGACUAGGGAUCGGAUGAUGUUAAUUUUUUAAUGACUCAUUCGGCGCCUUACGGGAAAC